RNAcentral lists this ribosomal RNA (571 nucleotides) under Eisenbergiella tayi. RNAcentral describes it as "bacterial LSU rRNA". It matches the Rfam family "Bacterial large subunit ribosomal RNA", at positions 1 to 576 of the family's 2925-position model. Lineage: Bacteria; Bacillati; Bacillota; Clostridia; Lachnospirales; Lachnospiraceae. The record is from RNAcentral.
AGGUUAAGCUGUAAAGAGCACAAGGUGGAUGCCUUGGCACUAAGAGCCGAUGAAAGACGUGAUAAGCUGCGAAAAGCUGCGGUGAGGAGCAAAUAUCCUUUGACCCGCAGAUGUCUGAAUGGGGAAACCCGGCGGAGCAAACCUCCGUCACCGUAUUCUGAAUCCAUAGGGAUACGGAGGGAACCCGGUGAACUGAAACAUCUAAGUAGCCGGAGGAAGAGAAAGAAAAUAUAUCGAUUCUGUGAGUAGCGGCGAGCGAAAACGGAAGAGCCCAAACCAGCGUGCGUGCAUGCUGGGGUUCGGACUGCAUACGUUACAGAUGCGGUUAGCAGAACGGUCCUGGAAAGACCGGCCAGAGAGGGUGAAAGCCCCGUAAGCGAAAACCAAGUCUGGACAGCAGGAUCCAGAGUACCACGAGACACGAGAAACCUUGUGGGAAUAAGCGGGGACCACCCCGUAAGGCUAAAUACUCCUUAGUGACCGAUAGCGCAUAGUACUGUGAAGGAAAGGUGAAAAGGACCCCGGGAGGGGAGUGAAAGAGAACCUGAAACCUUGUGUUUACAAGCUGUGG